UUCCUAAACCACCAGCCCAUAUGCCCCAACUUCCUAAGCCCAAAUCCCUCUACCACCCUAGCAAAUUGACCCCAUCAGCCCAAUUCUCCAGCCCAUACCCUUUUUGACCCGGCCCACGUCUGCUCUCUUCUUCCAAAGAAAAGCAGAAACGACUCUAGCAAAAAGCUCAACGCCAGUGCGCGUAACUCGUCGCUCCCAACUCCAGUUGACGCGUGAAAGAGCAGCAAGGAUACACAGUAUUCCUCACGCUUGACAGAUGCAACGUGAAAAACUCAAAAGCUAAUCGCGUGUUGAUUGCGUCUUCUCCAACGUUCCCAUGACAGAAGACGCGUCCCCUUCUCCAGGUUUGUACGAUAGUAGAGACACGCGAGAAACGUCCUUGACACGAUGAGAUUGGUCCAAGUUGCCUUCCAAGGACGGGAGGUUGAUCUUGGUUGUCCGCUCCCCUUUUCCUCUUCCGAAAGGGGUCGAAAUUUCUGAAAAAGUGUGUUUCCGCUCUUUGGUGAAAGUAUUUUUUUUGAAUUUUGAAGGGAAUUCGAAAUGGAUCCGGGUUUUUGGAUCCGAUUUUGCCCUACCUCAAAAAUCGUGACCUAAUUUUUCAUCUAUAUAUCUUCUCUUUCUCCUUCAAUGAAGAGAGAAGAGAAUUUUUUUUGACUUUUUCUUGGGAAUUUUCUGUAGAGAACACAUAUUGAGUGAAAAUCUUGGGUAGACUUUCUGUUAGAAAAUUCUCAGAGCAAAGGCAGUGGUAAAAGGAAAUAGUUGUAGGCUAUACGAAAAAAAAUAUAAAAUACAGUCAAAGAAACAGGGGUAAGAUUUUUCUCUUCUCCUUCCCUCUUUAGAGAUUUUGGGUUUGCUGUUUCGUUUCGAAUAUCUUGGCUGCCGCUUGUGUUCAUUAUUCGACGGCUGACGUUCGUGGUCGGUAUUCCGGUGGUGAAGCUUCCUAUACUCGUUUCAGCCCAGUCUCGCUGCACUUAGCAAGUCUGUUCGAUAUGGACCAUGCUUCCCCAAAGCUUGCUAUUUGGAUCCGUUGUUGCAAUCGUGGCCUCAAGACUCAUGUUCGAGCGAUCUCUAUUGUCUGAUAUGUAGCCAAUAUCUAACUAGUUGGAUUUAGCAGUGCUUUGUUUCUUCAGCAGCUUUUGUUCUGUGAUUUGAUCUUAAAAUUGUUCUUGUCUAGUUUAAUAUGAAAAUGUAAUCUAAUCAUGCCUUAGAUUCAAGUUCAAAUUGUAGUGUAGCUCUAAUAAUCCCUGUUAAGUUUUAUACUCGUUCAAGCUUCCAUUUAUCUGUCUGCUUUCUCUAUUUCCAUCAAUCUUUAUGUCACUGUCCCUCUUCUAUUUGCGAUCCUUUAUGAAACACGAUUUCUUGUCCUGGUUCAUUACUUGAGUAUUUUGGUUUGUCCUCCUACGUACUUGAUUUUUUUGGGGGGAGGGGGGCAAAGGAUAACUGUUGGGUGUUUGAGUCAUAGGCUUGUAUAUGUGUUUUGCUUACUGUGUUUUGAUUGAAUUUGUUUGCUGAUGUAGCUUGUUAUGAGAUUCUUGGUAUAUCGAUAUGUUGUGUACUUUCCUAAAUGAUUUCAUUGUCUAUUUGUCGUGUCGAGUCUAACUUUAUCAUCUCGUUUUAUGAAAUGGAAUUUAUUCUUAGAGUUCAUUAUUUGUAUUUAAAUUUGCUUCACAUGUUUGUGUUUCUGGAAAAGAAUUAUGCUAAAAUGCCUGUAGGUAUGAUUGAUAUUUAAUGCUUACUUUUGCCUAACUUAUUUCAUUUUUGUUUUGUUUCGUUUUACAAACUGCUUUGACCAUUUUAUUUAAUGGGCUGUCAAUUCUCAAGAACCCUAUGUUUCGAUAAAUGAAUACAUGUCUAUAUUAUUUAGGUGUAAAUAUUACCUGUUGCGUAAUUGGUGUGAAUAUCGUUUUGAUCUCAUCUAUUUUUAUCGCCUGAAAAAUUGUGGUUUAAUUUAGUGUUUUUUUUUUUACUAACCCUUUCUUUUCUUUCUCUGUCUUAUUUGAAUUAUAUCCCCCACCUUUGCAUUUUCCUAUUGGGCCAUGGAGGCCCAACUUCGCUUAAUUUGAGUCAAUCUACUUUUAAGAAUCGAAGAAUAAGUUCCGGAAAGAGGCGUGCAGGUCCCGAAGCAAAGGAAAUUAAAGUAGAAGAGUUGAAGAAGCUGGCCCACGAGGCCCACUUUAUAAUGUUCUUUUUAAAUUGUAUUCUGUUAUUUUUGGGUUUAAGCCCUGUCGUCUUUCCU
Solanum pennellii is the source of this 2236-nucleotide long non-coding RNA. RefSeq lists it as uncharacterized. Lineage: Eukaryota; Viridiplantae; Streptophyta; Magnoliopsida; Solanales; Solanaceae. The transcript has 2 exons. The record is from RefSeq and is a predicted model, not a curated record.